Molecule: non-coding RNA, 328 nt
Organism: Arachis ipaensis
Lineage: Eukaryota; Viridiplantae; Streptophyta; Magnoliopsida; Fabales; Fabaceae
Source: RefSeq, a predicted model, not a curated record
CUUCCAGGGAGGGGAGAAAGCUUCCGUAACCUUACAGUAAAUUUCCGAUCCCCGUAACUUCUCCAUCUGAGCUCCAAUCGCCGCACCAUUUGCGGCCACGCGUUCACCACAUUGAGCUCUAUAUUUCUACCGAAACAAUUUCACUGGAUCCAAUUAGCUUGAGGAAAAUGUUCACUCUUGCUUAUGUGAAGUUUGGGUAAGGUUGUGAAUAAAUAUUUGGAGCUUGAAAUUGUGAAUACUGAAACUUGGAGAAAGCGGAUUAGUUGAGAUUUUGAGGGCUGUGUUCUUUUAGAAAAAUUGUCUUGGAAUAAUACUUGGGAAUCGGCUA